RNAcentral lists this ribosomal RNA (300 nucleotides) under uncultured Methanosarcina sp. RNAcentral describes it as "bacterial SSU rRNA". It matches the Rfam family "Bacterial small subunit ribosomal RNA", at positions 496 to 795 of the family's 1533-position model. The record is from RNAcentral. Lineage: Archaea; Methanobacteriati; Methanobacteriota; Methanomicrobia; Methanosarcinales; Methanosarcinaceae.
GCAGACUAAGGGACGGCCGGCGCGGUAAGACGUAGGGUGCUAGGGUUGUCCGGAAUUACUGGGCGGUAAGGGCUCGUAGGUGGGUUGUCGCGUUGUUCGUGAGAACUAGUGGCGUAACCUCUGGCGUGCGGGCGAUACGGGCAGACUGGAGGACUGCAGGGGAGACUGGAAUUCCUGGUGUAGCGGUGGAAUGCGCAGAUAUCAGGAGGAACACCGGUGGCGAAGGCGGGUCUCUGGGCAGUAACUGACGCUGAGGAGCGAAAGCGUGGGGAGCGAACAGGAUUAGAUACCCGGGUAGUC